UUAAAGGGUCCGUAGGCGGAUUUGUAAGUCAGUGGUGAAAUCUCAUAGCUUAACUAUGAAACUGCCAUUGAUACUGCAAGUCUUGAGUAAAUUUGAAGUGGCUGGAAUAAGUAGUGUAGCGGUGAAAUGCAUAGAUAUUACUUAGAACACCAAUUGCGAAGGCAGGUCACUAAGAUUUAACUGACGCUGAUGGACGAAAGCGUGGGAGCGAACAGGAUUAGAUACCCUGGUAGUCCACGCCGUAAACGAUGCUAACUCGUUUUUGGGGUUUCGGCUUCAGAGACUAAGCGAAAGUGAUAAGUUAGCCACCUGGGGAGUACGUUCGCAAGAAUGAAACUCAAAGGAAUUGACGGGGGCCCGCACAAGCGGUGGAUUAUGUGGUUUAAUUCGAUGAUCGCGAGGAACCUUACCAAGACUUAAAUGGGAAUUGACAGAUUUAGAACUAGAUCUUUCUUCGGACAAUUUUCAAGGUGCUGCA
This 478-nucleotide ribosomal RNA is filed under the name uncultured bacterium. Its description in RNAcentral is "bacterial SSU rRNA". It matches the Rfam family "Bacterial small subunit ribosomal RNA", at positions 560 to 1045 of the family's 1533-position model. The record is from RNAcentral.